Molecule: long non-coding RNA, 639 nt
Organism: Salvia miltiorrhiza (redroot sage)
Lineage: Eukaryota; Viridiplantae; Streptophyta; Magnoliopsida; Lamiales; Lamiaceae
Exons: 2
Source: RefSeq, a predicted model, not a curated record
GCCCAUCAGAAGUAGCUUAAGCCCAAUUAAAUAUACAAGUUUAAUAAAUAAUUAAAUCCACCAUCUUAUUCUCAAAGUUAAGAAAAUCAGAUUUCUUUCUCUCUCCCCGUGUUCUCUCACUCACCGCGUCUCUCUCUCCCUUCGCUCCCUUUCUCAGCCGGCAACUUCGCCGGUCCUUGCCGCCUCCGGCCGCGAGGCCGGCUCCUCAUCUUCUCCUUCCUCUCUAUUCCUUAUUUCCUUCUCUAAUUCUAAGAUUCCCAAUUUCUAGGGUUUUCUGCCUCCCUUUCCCCUCUGAAAUUCGCCCCUCCGGCGAGUGCUGCCUCUGCCACCGCCGUCUCCGUCGCACCACCGCCACCUCUGUCUCAAGAAUCGAUGACUCAACUCCGGCGAGGCAGCCCGCCUCCUGAUCAAUGCUCAAGAUUCUAUUUUUUUUUUACCUUUCUUAUUGUAAAUUUAUGUUCUUUCAUUGAUUGAUUAUUGAAAAACUGAAGCUGUAAAGGUUGGGAAAUCGUACUGUGCUUAUAGAAAUUAGAGUUAGAGAUAUCUGUUUAUGCUUAACUGGUGUAGCUAUUCUGUUUUCACUGCUUUUCUUUACAUACUGAAUAUACUGUAUUGAAUAAGAAAGACUACCUUCUUUGA